RNAcentral lists this ribosomal RNA (492 nucleotides) under uncultured bacterium. Its description in RNAcentral is "partial 16S ribosomal RNA". It matches the Rfam family "Bacterial small subunit ribosomal RNA", at positions 29 to 507 of the family's 1533-position model. The record is from RNAcentral.
AGUGAACGCUGGCGGUAGGCCUAACACAUGCAAGUCGAACGGCAGCACAGUAAGAGCUUGCUCUUACGGGUGGCGAGUGGCGGACGGGUGAGGAAUACAUCGGCAUCUACUUUUUCGUGGGGGAUAAUGUAGGGAAACUUACGCUAAUACCGCAUACGACCUACGGGUGAAAGCAGGGGAUCUUCGGACCUUGCGCGAUUGAAUGAGCCGAUGUCGGAUUAGCUAGUUGGCGGGGUAAAGGCCCACCAAGGCGACGAUCCGUAGCUGGUCUGAGAGGAUGAUCAGCCACACUGGAACUGAGACACGGUCCAGACUCCUACGGGAGGCAGCAGUGGGGAAUAUUGGACAAUGGGCGAAAGCCUGAUCCAGCCAUACCGCGUGGGUGAAGAAGGCCUUCGGGUUGUAAAGCCCUUUUGUUGGGAAAGAAAAGCAGCAGGUUAAUACCCCGCUGUUCUGACGGUACCCAAAGAAUAAGCACCGGCUAACUUCGUG